AGGACACUAUAAAUGAUCUGAAAUGAAGGAACUGUCUCGAGUAGCUGGCGACGACGGAAAGAACGAGAAGCAGCGAAGCCGUAACAGCGAAAAAUGGCGAGGGGACAUACCGGAGAGUUUUUCAGGAGGAGGGAUCAGUGGAGGAAGCAUCCGAUGCUUUCGAAUCAGCUCCGACACGCCACCCCUGGGCUUGGAAUCGCCCUCGUGGCUUUCGGCAUUUACCUCGUCGGUGAACAAGUCUACAAUAGGCUAAAUUCUCCUUCCUCUCACCACUCUCACUCAUCCUCUUCUGUUCAUUCUUCUCACUGACCUGGGAUUCGUGUCUUGCCGCUUCUCUCAGGUAGAUUCCCAGAGCCCUGGACUGCAUCAUCUCAUGUUCUAAGACGUUUAAUAAUAAGCAUUUCGUUGACUUGAAUUUGCAGCUUUGUAUGUAAACUUGUUAUUGGUAUACUACUUUGUUAGUUUUGUGGCUCAUUAUUUUGCCUGCAUUGAAGCGCUUAUUGUUCUGCUUCAAGCGCGUUGCCUGCACAUUGGCGAAAUCCUCACCCCCCACCCCCGCCAAAAAAAAAUAAAUAAAUAAACUCUCAAGCACGGAACAUAGUUUGAACUUUAUGAGAUGAGAUUUGGAAAUGCUGGAAAUUUUAGCGAUUUAUUGUAA
Molecule: long non-coding RNA, 658 nt
Organism: Prosopis cineraria
Lineage: Eukaryota; Viridiplantae; Streptophyta; Magnoliopsida; Fabales; Fabaceae
Exons: 2
Source: RefSeq, a predicted model, not a curated record